GACGAACGCUGGCGGCGUGCCUAAUACAUGCAAGUCGAACGGGGUUGCACGGCGGAAGCCUUCGGGUGGAAGCUGUGCAGCCUAGUGGCGGACGGGUGAGUAACGCGUGGGCAACCUGCCCUCCAGCCCGGGAUAACUUCCGGAAACGGGAGCUAAUCCCGGAUGCGGAGCAAAGGACGCAUGUUUUUUGCUCGAAAGCUUCGGCGCUGGAGGAUGGGCCCGCGUCCCAUUAGCUAGUUGGUGAGGUAACGGCUCACCAAGGCGACGAUGGGUAGCCGGCCUGAGAGGGUGAUCGGCCACACUGGGACUGAGACACGGCCCAGACUCCUACGGGAGGCAGCAGUAGGGAAUCUUGCGCAAUGGGCGAAAGCCUGACGCAGCGACGCCGCGUGAGGGAAGAAGGCCUUCGGGUCGUAAACCUCUGUCCUUGGGGACGAUGAUGACGGUACCCAAGGAGGAAGCCCCGGCUAACUACGUG
Molecule: ribosomal RNA, 478 nt
Filed under: uncultured organism
Description: bacterial SSU rRNA
Rfam family: Bacterial small subunit ribosomal RNA
Source: RNAcentral